Long non-coding RNA from Drosophila yakuba, 844 nucleotides. RefSeq lists it as uncharacterized. The transcript is spliced from 2 exons. The record is from RefSeq and is a predicted model, not a curated record. Lineage: Eukaryota; Metazoa; Arthropoda; Insecta; Diptera; Drosophilidae.
GUCGCUUGUCACAGUUUUGGGUUAGUCCGAAAGUAGCAUUAUCGGGGUUAGGAACUUGCUUUAAGUAGGGCCACCUACCCAUUAACCUAUCAAUGCAGUUUGGGUUCUAUCGAAAUUGCAAGCUUACACUGUAAUAGAUAAGAAAACGCAACCUGGGCAUACUAGUGAACGCCAUGCCGGUCGUUCUCUUUCCGUUUUAACCUUGGAGGUGAUCAGACGUACAGGUGCGACCAACCAAAAAAAAAAAAACACACCCACGUUUCUUUCUAAUUUUUUUUGUAUUUCGAUAUUCUUCGGUGAGUUAGUUUCUAAAGUGAAAUUCGCUUUUGCUAAUUAUUUUCGUCUUUAGUACCCAAGCCCAGAUUAGAAAUCCCACCAACUGUAUUUAAAUUUGGGGUUAGUUCGGUGCCAGAUCAAAGGUUCUGGCACCUUGUGCUACCCACAAGCAACCGCCGGCUCCAAGCCGUACCACCAGAGCAGCACGUCCAGCAGAGUAGCCGAUGCACAUCGAUCAUCAGAACAUCUCUUUUGGCCGAAGCCAUCGGUGUUCAAGUGUUAUUAGUGUGAAUUAAUCUACCCCCGCAAAAGUUCAGUGAAAACAAAACCUGUAGCGAAAAACGAAAAAAAAAAAAGGGAAAACAAAAGCCCCUCACAUUAAGCGGUUCAAUUUUUUUUUGGUUAUACCACGAGGUGGCUACACUGUGACAAACUAAUGGUGUUACCGCACGCAUUACAAAACAUGUGCUAAUACACUAAUAAAAUAAUUGGACACCAACGAUCGCCAAAACAAAAAGAAUGAAUUCAAUUUAAAACGUUACGAAAACUACGAGUUUACUAUACCCGA